CCUACGGGUGGCAGCAGUGGGGAAUAUUGCACAAUGGGCGCAAGCCUGAUGCAGCCAUGCCGCGUGUGUGAAGAAGGCCUUCGGGUUGUAAAGCACUUUCAGCGGGGAGGAAGGCGUUAAGGUUAAUAACCUUGUCGAUUGACGUUACCCGCAGAAGAAGCACCGGCUAACUCCGUGCCAGCAGCCGCGGUAAUACGGAGGGUGCGAGCGUUAAUCGGAAUUACUGGGCGUAAAGCGCGCGCAGGCGGUCUGUCAAGUCGGAUGUGAAAUCCCCGGGCUCAACCUGGGAACUGCAUUCGAAACUGGCAGGCUAGAGUCUUGUAGAGGGGGGUAGAAUUCCAGGUGUAGCGGUGAAAUGCGUAGAGAUCUGGAGGAAUACCGGUGGCGAAGGCGGCCCCCUGGACAAAGACUGACGCUCAGGUGCGAAAGCGUGGGGAGCAAACAGGAUUAGAUACCCUAGUAGUC
This 465-nucleotide ribosomal RNA is filed under the name uncultured Klebsiella sp. RNAcentral describes it as "bacterial SSU rRNA". It matches the Rfam family "Bacterial small subunit ribosomal RNA", at positions 338 to 795 of the family's 1533-position model. The record is from RNAcentral. Lineage: Bacteria; Pseudomonadati; Pseudomonadota; Gammaproteobacteria; Enterobacterales; Enterobacteriaceae.